CAGAGGAAGGUGCAGUGAGGAAUAAUGAAGCUCAAAAAGAAGUACUGAAUUACGAACUUGCCUUGCCCUUCCUUUCCCUAUCCGCACCAGCUGGCUGCCACCUGAUGUGACCUUCCUUCUCGUCCUCUGCUGAUGUCCAGCUUCACCGUGGAGCAGCAUUGUCGACAAGAAAAGGGUACCCAAGGAGCCUUCCACAGAUGCAAAGAAAAACAUUUCAGAAAGUGCAAGAACAAAACGGGAAAGAAAAUACUAAAUGUAAGCUGUUAUGUGCAAGCUGUUCGUACACAUACAGAGUUGAAAAGUCUAUUUUUGUAGAACUACUGCAAUGAGUUUAUUAGCUUUAUGAAGUGGUUUUUUUAAGCUUUGUGUGAUGACCAUUGCAUCUGUUUUUAUCUUUAAACUGCCAGUAAUAUUGUUCUGUUUGAUAUGCUGUCAUAUUACAAAUGUUCCUAAUCAUCUCUUCGGAGGGAAUUUUAACUCAGUCUGCUUCAGCUAUUAAAAUGAGGGUUCAAAAAGAAGCAUCAAGGCCAGGGUUCGUUUAAAAAAAAUAUGCCUGCCCAUAUGGCAUAUUUAGUAAUAUAUAUAUAUAUAGUUAUGACUGGUGGAGCAAUAGAUGUUUAAACUUAAGUAUACUUAGCUAAAACAAUCCCUUUUGUGUUGUGAAAAACACUGUUCUUCUAAAACUGUCUUGCAUUGGUG
RNAcentral lists this long non-coding RNA (699 nucleotides) under Anas platyrhynchos platyrhynchos (common mallard). RNAcentral's name for it is "lncRNA (ENSAPLG00000017422.1)". The record is from RNAcentral. Lineage: Eukaryota; Metazoa; Chordata; Aves; Anseriformes; Anatidae.